Molecule: ribosomal RNA, 253 nt
Filed under: uncultured bacterium
Lineage: Bacteria
Description: partial 16S ribosomal RNA
Rfam family: Bacterial small subunit ribosomal RNA
Source: RNAcentral
UACGGAGGGGCUAGCGUUGUUCGGAAUUACUGGGCGUAAAGCGCACGUAGGCGGCUUUUUAAGUCAGAGGUGAAAUCCUGGAGCUCAACUCCAGAACUGCCUUUGAUACUGGAGAGCUUGAGUCCGGGAGAGGUGAGUGGAACUGCGAGUGUAGAGGUGAAAUUCGUAGAUAUUCGCAAGAACACCAGUGGCGAAGGCGGCUCACUGGCCCGGUACUGACGCUGAGGCACGAAAGCGUGGGGAGCAAACAGGG